GACGAACGCUGGCGGCGUGCUUAACACAUGCAAGUCGAACGAUGAAGCUGGAGCUUGCUCCGGUGGAUUAGUGGCGAACGGGUGAGUAACACGUGAGCAAUCUGCCCUUGACUCUGGGAUAACUGCGGGAAACUGUAGCUAAUACCGGAUACUUUCACCGGAAGGCAUCUUCUGGUGAAGAAAGAAUUUCGGUCAAGGAUGAGCUCGCGGCCUAUCAGCUUGUUGGUGAGGUAACGGCUCACCAAGGCGACGACGGGUAGCCGGCCUGAGAGGGUGACCGGCCACACUGGGACUGAGACACGGCCCAGACUCCCACGGGAGGCAGCAGUGGGGAAUAUUGCACAAUGGGCGCAAGCCUGAUGCAGCAACGCCGCGUGAGGGAUGAAGGCCUUCGGGUUGUAAACCUCUUUUAGCAGGGAAGAAGCGAAAGUGACGGUACCUGCAGAAAAAGCACCGGCUAACUACGUGCCAGCAGCCGCCGUAA
This 484-nucleotide ribosomal RNA is filed under the name uncultured bacterium. RNAcentral's name for it is "partial 16S ribosomal RNA". It matches the Rfam family "Bacterial small subunit ribosomal RNA", at positions 28 to 523 of the family's 1533-position model. The record is from RNAcentral.